This 1939-nucleotide long non-coding RNA is filed under the name Salmo salar (Atlantic salmon). RNAcentral describes it as "lncRNA (ENSSSAG00000090463.1)". The stretch from base 524 to 596 matches the Rfam family "tRNA". Lineage: Eukaryota; Metazoa; Chordata; Actinopteri; Salmoniformes; Salmonidae. The record is from RNAcentral.
CCAAGCCUGGCCUGUUGAGGAGUGACGGACUCCAUCCUAGCUGGAGGGGUGCUCUCAUCUUAUCUACGAACAUAGACAGGGCUCUAACUCCUCUAGCUCCACAAUGAAAUAGGGUGCAGGCCAGGCAGCAGGCUGUUAGCCAGCCUGCCAGCUUAGUGGAGUCUGCCACUAGCACAGUCAGUGUAGUCAGCUCAGCUUCCCCCAUUGAGACCGUGUCUGUGCCUCGAUCUAGGUUGGGCAAAAUUAAAAAUGGCGGUGUUCGCUUUAGCAAUCUCACUAGUAUAAAGACCUCCUCCAUUCCUGCCAUUAUUGAAAGAGAUUGUGAUACCUCACAUCUCAAAAUUGGGUUACUUAAUGUUAGAUCACUCACUUCCAAGGCAGUAAUAGUCAGCGAAACUAAUCACUGAUCACAACCUUGAUGUUAUUGGCCUGACUAAAACAUGGCUCAAACCUGCUGAAUUUACUGUGUUCAAUGAAGCCGCCAUCUCCUCCUGGUUACCCUAGUGACCAUAUCCCACGCACAUCCCGUGUGGCUCAGUUGGUAGCGCAUGGUGUUUGCAACGCCAGGGUUGUGGGUUCGAUUCCCACGGGGGGGACCAGUACGGAGAGAAAAAAAAUAUAUAAUAAUAAUGUCUGGAUUCAGCAUUUAAACUCUAUGAGUGAACAUCUUCAUGACAUAUCACAAAUCAGUGUUCUUGAUGUGAUGGAGUACUAAGGACAAAACUUCCCUCUCUCUACAGAUCUCUAUAGGAAGCCUACGGACAGGAAUACCCUCCUUAGAGGUGACAGCUUUUCAUCCACGUCCACUCAUUAAAAGUCUCCCUAUAAGUCAAUUCAGUCGUAUCAGAAGAAUAAGCAGCUCUGAUGCUUUUUACCAGAGACAGAACACGGACCUCAACACAAAGGUUUAAGGAAAGAGGGGUACAAAGACAAUUGGGUAAAACAUGCCCAAUGAUCAUUUUUGAAGGACUAACACAGUUGGAAAGCCUUCCAUCAAAAGUUAAGGAAAAAGCAAAACAUAUCCCAUCAUGCUUCACCCAAUACUCAACGUUGGGGAAGGCAUUCAAGAAUAUUAUGGGGAAGCACUGGUACAUUAUUGAUACUGAGCCACAAUUGAAACCCCAUUUUUAAAUAUCCCCCACGUAUGGCUCCCGAGUGGCGCAGCGGUCUAAGGCACUGCAUCUCAGUGCUAGAGGCAUCACUGCAGUCCCUGGUUCGAUUCCAGGCUGUAUCACAACCGUCUGUGAUUGAGGGUCCCAUAGGGUGGCGCACAAUUGGCCCAGCAUCAUCCGGGUUUGGCCAGGGUAGGCCGCCAUUGUAAAUAAGAAUUUGUUAUGAACUGACUUACCUAGUUAAAUAAUAAUAAAAAUAAAAAAAAAUACAAAUGUUAAAGACCCACAAACGUGAGAGACAUUGUGGUUAAAUCUGAUUACCCACCAGAAACAAAGGAAGCUUUCUUGGACAAGGUUCCAGAGGGUAAUUACAUAUGUGGCCAAUGUGCUCAAUGCAGCUUCAUGUACAAAUGCAACUCCUUUACCCCACCCCCGCACAGGACAAAGAUUUAAGAUCAAGGGCCUGAUUACCUGCAUGUCCACCAGUGUUAUUUACAUGUUGAAAUGUCCUUGCGGACUGUCUCACAUAGGGAAAACCCGUUGAAGCCUUAAGACAUGGGUCAGUGAGCACCACAGGAAUAUACAGACAGGUGUGUCACGCCCUGGCCAUAGAGAGGGUUUUGUUCUCUAUUUUGGUUAGGCCAGGGUGUGACUAGGGUGGGCAUUCUAUGUGCCAUUUUCUAUGUUUUGUGUAUUUCUUUGUUUUGGCCGGGUAUGGUUCUCAAUCAGGGACAGCUGUCUAUUGUUGUCUCUGAUCGGGAACCAUACUUAGGUAUCCUUUUCCCACAGGGUUUUUGUGGGUAGUUAAUUUCUGUUUAGUGUUUUGC